Molecule: ribosomal RNA, 452 nt
Filed under: uncultured Sphingobacteriales bacterium
Lineage: Bacteria; Pseudomonadati; Bacteroidota; Sphingobacteriia; Sphingobacteriales
Description: bacterial SSU rRNA
Rfam family: Bacterial small subunit ribosomal RNA
Source: RNAcentral
AAGCGGAGGAGCAUGUGGUUUAAUUCGAUGAUACGCAGGACCUUACCUGGGCUCGAACGUAAGAUGACUGUAGGUGAAAGCUUACAUCUCUUCGGAGCAUUUUACGAGGUGCUGCAUGGUUGUCGUCAGCUCGUGCCGUGAGGUGUCGGGUUAAGUCCCAUAACGAGCGCAACCCUACCUUUAGUUGCCAUCAGGUAAUGCUGGGGACUCUAAAGGAACUGCCUACGCAAGUAGUGAGGAAGGCGGGGAUGACGUCAAAUCAGCACGGCCCUUACGUCCAGGGCUACACACGUGCUACAAUGGCCGAUACAGAGGGCAGCUACCUGGUGACAGGAUGCAAAUCUCCAAAGUCGGUCUCAGUUCGGAUCGGAGUCUGCAACCCGACUCCGUGAAGUUGGAUUCGCUAGUAAUCGCGCAUCAGCCAUGGCGCGGUGAAUACGUUCCCGGGCCUU